GCCAUUUCCCUGCUCUGAGACGUCGGACAAGUCACUCACUGCCAGGGCUGCAGUUUCCUGUCUCUAAAAGGAGUUGAUGAGCAGCUCUAGGUGGGGUGGCGAUGGGGGACUCAGGAGGUGCCCCGUGCCUGUGGUCCCCUGUUGAAGUUCACGCCUCCUCAAAUGCAGCGGCCACCCAGCGCUCGCUGGGUGCCAUAUGUGCCCCACAAAACACCUUUCCUCAGCCUCGAGGACAAGUACCACAGGCCAGUUCCGCGGGAAAAGUUAAUGGUGGUUUCCUCCAGGGUCCCUAAAGCCCCUCCUGAAAAGUGACUGUGGUUCCCCUCCCCCUGUCCUCAGGUUUUGAGUGGGCACAACCUAAGCUGGAUCUGAUAGGCCCUGUCACCUGCUGGUUCCUCCCUGGUUGACACCAAGCAGAGGGGCAAUGCUCUCUCCCUGUCCUUAGACCCAAGCAGGAGAAAAAUCUACCCUCCCUCCUUCCCUCCCCAUUCCCCAUCACACCGUGAUUGGCUUUUAAGCUUCAGGGAUGUUUCCCGGACCGAGUGUGGCUUCAGAGUCAGAGAGAUGUGAGUUCAAGACCACUUGCUUAGGUGGCUUUUGUGGACAAGAUGCGACCACCUCAUGAGGAUCAAGAUGUACUCCUUGCUCUUCUCUGCACAGCAGUCUCAAAACUAGGCUACACCGUCUGUCUCCUCUGGUCACCAUUUCGAGAGGCAGCAAGGGUCUUCCUAACCCUCAGCUCCCUCUGAUUUUUGGAAUUCAGAUUUGGAUUUUGGAUGUACAUCAAGAGGCUGGCUCCAUGCAUUUUAAUUAAGCUGUCUUUUUUCAUUUAUUACUAAUACACUCCUCUUAACUAUGAUUUAUUUGUUAAACAAAGCACCAUAAGCCGUCACUUAUUCAUCUUAAUUUCAACAAAAUUAAAGUAGUCGCUGUUAGAUUGCACCUAAUUGCACUUGCAAUGAAAAGAACGGAGAUGUUAAUCAAAAUAAAUUGAAGAUAAACAAUAAAAUCAUUACAUCUUUG
This 1023-nucleotide long non-coding RNA is filed under the name Pan troglodytes (chimpanzee). RNAcentral's name for it is "long non-coding RNA NONPTRT017956". Lineage: Eukaryota; Metazoa; Chordata; Mammalia; Primates; Hominidae. The record is from RNAcentral.